Molecule: ribosomal RNA, 467 nt
Filed under: uncultured bacterium
Lineage: Bacteria
Description: partial 16S ribosomal RNA
Rfam family: Bacterial small subunit ribosomal RNA
Source: RNAcentral
GACGAACGCUGGCGGCGUGCUUAACACAUGCAAGUCGAACGGAAAGGCCCUGCUUUUGUGGGGUGCUCGAGUGGCGAACGGGUGAGUAACACGUGAGUAACCUGCCCUUGACUUUGGGAUAACUUCAGGAAACUGGGGCUAAUACCGGAUAGGAGCUCCUGCUGCAUGGUGGGGGUUGGAAAGUUUCGGCGGUUGGGGAUGGACUCGCGGCUUAUCAGCUUGUUGGUGGGGUAGUGGCUUACCAAGGCUUUGACGGGUAGCCGGCCUGAGAGGGUGACCGGCCACAUGGGGACUGAGAUACGGCCCAGACUCCUACGGGAGGCAGCAGUGGGGAAUAUUGCACAAUGGGCGGAAGCCUGAUGCAGCAACGCCGCGUGCGGGAUGACGGCCUUCGGGUUGUAAACCACUUUCGCCUGUGACGAAGCGUGAGUGACGGUAAUGGGGAAAGAAGCACCGGCUAACUACGU